UCUACAACUUCAUCAUGUCUGUCAUAGUAGCUACAGGGAACAAAUAUCUGAGCAAGGUGUGGGGGGGGAGGGGAGGAGAGAAGAAACUGGCUGAAGAUCUGUCUAAAAAAGAAAGAGGCUGUAAUUAGAGUUGGUCAGAAUUUUUCAGACAAAAACUAGUGACAAAUUUUUGCCACAAUUUGCAAAUGAAACUAAUCAUUAUUUAACACAUUCCAGUAGUGACGGUCAGUCAGUAUCAGCCUGCCACAUGCCAAGGACAGUCGAGACACUAUCACAAUAAUCUCAGGGGCACCCGCACAUCUGACCAGCUGGACCAGUAAAAUGACCUCAGUGUACUCAACCUGAAGUGCUGCAGAAGUGGAAUGAGAAGCUGAUAAGAGACAGUAGCUGGUCCCUUAGUACAUUAUAAUGACCACUGAUUUCAGAACUGACUGGAGAGGAGGCGGGUAAUGGACUCGGCCUCUCACAAGUAUCCCUGUGUGUGCAAAGAGCCCCUGUGGCUUUCAGCUGAAUGCUGUGGAACUCUACCCCAUCUGAGGCCAGACAAAAAUAACCACUGCAAACCCAAGCUCCCUUCCCUGUCGCUUUUCUGAAUUCCCGAUAACCGCAAGCACUGGUGGUCAUAUUUUAUAAUUCCUACAUUUAGGGUUAACAUGGAUUGUGACCUCACAACAGCACAUUUCAGCACCCACAGGCAAGUUACUGAAAGACGUUGGAUUCACCAAUAUUCCAGUGAGGCUGGGAGCAGUGGCAGGAAGCGAUGGGGAGGAUGGUUGGAGCAAGCAGCCAGCAGGCAGCUGAUGGGAGUGGCCAGCAGUAGCAGUGGUGAGCAGCAGGCAGGCAACCAGCAAAGCGGUGCCAGAGAGCAGCAAGUAGGUGGAUGGCGAGGGACCUGCGGAGUGGGUGAGAUGCCUCCUAUCCCUUCCUCCAGGGAUCACCUCUGAAGUCUGGUCUUUCCUGACCAAGGGCAGCAACUGUGAGUGGGGUUCAGAGAAGAGUUGGGCAUACGAAUAGGACACUUGAAUAGCUGGACUUGUGAGCCUAAGAGGCAAAGGACAUGGUCAAACCUACUUGAGCUGGAACGUUUACUUGUGGUUUGGUUGUGAACUCUGUUUGUGAUGUUUUCCCAAAUUAAUGCCACGUAACUUCUCUCCCUCUUUCAUUAAA
This is a non-coding RNA of Pelodiscus sinensis (Chinese soft-shelled turtle), 1167 nucleotides long. Lineage: Eukaryota; Metazoa; Chordata; Testudines; Trionychidae. The record is from RefSeq and is a predicted model, not a curated record.